GACGAACGCUGGCGGCGUGCUUAACACAUGCAAGUCGAACGGAAAGGCCCUGCUUUUGUGGGGUGCUCGAGUGGCGAACGGGUGAGUAACACGUGAGUAACCUGCCCUUGACUUUGGGAUAACUUCAGGAAACUGGGGCUAAUACCGGAUAGGAGCUCCUGCUGCAUGGUGGGGGUUGGAAAGUUUCGGCGGUUGGGGAUGGACUCGCGGCUUAUCAGCUUGUUGGUGGGGUAGUGGCUUACCAAGGCUUUGACGGGUAGCCGGCCUGAGAGGGUGACCGGCCACAUUGGGACUGAGAUACGGCCCAGACUCCUACGGGAGGCAGCAGUGGGGAAUAUUGCACAAUGGGCGGAAGCCUGAUGCAGCAACGCCGCGUGCGGGAUGACGGCCUUCGGGUUGUAAACCGCUUUCGCCUGUGACGAAGCGUGAGUGACGGUAAUGGGUAAAGAAGCACCGGCUAACUACGUGCCAGCAGCCGCGGUGAUACGUAGGGUGCGAGCGUUGUCCGGAUUUAUUGGGCGUAAAGGGCUCGUAGGUGGUUGAUCGCGUCGGAAGUGUAAUCUUGGGGCUUAACCCUGAGCGUGCUUUCGAUACGGGUUGACUUGAGGAAGGUAGGGGAGGAUGGAAUUCCUGGUGGAGCGGUGGAAUGCGCAGAUAUCAGGAGGAACACCAGUGGCGAAGGCGGUUCUCUGGGCCUUUCCUGACGCUGAGGAGCGAAAGCGUGGGGAGCGAACAGGCUUAGAUACCCUGGUAGUCCACGCUGUAAACGGUGGGUACUAGGUGUGGGGUCCAUUCCACGGGUUCCGUGCCGUAGCUAACGCUUUAAGUACCCCGCCUGGGGAGUACGGCCGCAAGGCUAAAACUCAAAGGAAUUGACGGGGCCCCGCACAAGCGGCGGAGCAUGCGGAUUAAUUCGAUGCAACGCGUAGAACCUUACCUGGGUUUGACAUGGAUCGGGAGUGCUCAGAGAUGGGUGUGCCUCUUUUGGGGUCGGUUCACAGGUGGUGCAUGGCUGUCGUCAGCUCGUGUCGUGAGAUGUUGGGUUAAGUCCCGCAACGAGCGCAACCCUUGUUCACUGUUGCCAGCACGUUAUGGUGGGGACUCAGUGGAGACCGCCGGGGUCAACUCGGAGGAAGGUGGGGAUGACGUCAAGUCAUCAUGCCCCUUAUGUCCAGGGCUUCACGCAUGCUACAAUGGCUGGUACAGAGAGUGGCGAGCCUGUGAGGGUGAGCGAAUCUCGGAAAGCCGGUCUCAGUUCGGAUUGGGGUCUGCAAUUCGACCUCAUGAAGUCGGAGUCGCUAGUAAUCGCAGAUCAGCAACGCUGCGGUGAAUACGUUCCCGGGGCU
This 1346-nucleotide ribosomal RNA is filed under the name uncultured bacterium. Its description in RNAcentral is "partial 16S ribosomal RNA". It matches the Rfam family "Bacterial small subunit ribosomal RNA", at positions 28 to 1381 of the family's 1533-position model. The record is from RNAcentral.